This 136-nucleotide non-coding RNA is filed under the name human gut metagenome. The record is from RNAcentral.
UAUUGCUAGGGGAGCUUUUGCUGAGAUUUACCAAAGGGCUUUCAUGAAGAUUUCACUUCUUAAACAGUGAAAUUCCGCAUUGCCCUGGGAUAAACCCUCAUAACCUGAUCCGGUUAACACCGGCGUAGGGAAGCAG